CUCACAGUCGCGUGCCCGUCAUACGUCACUAUAAGCGCAGCGAUCAAGCAAGCGUGCGCUGGCAUGUGCCAGCUUGUCGUGUUUCGAUAGAGUUUCGGCGCGAAAAAUCGUGCUCUGGUUCUCCCUGAAGGGCUGCGGAAGAUGUGGUGUCCGGUCGUCAGUAGGCACAUGUUUUUCAAGGAUGCUCAAGCCAGCCAGCAAGAGAGUGGUCUUCCAAGUACAAUUCGCCCUCCAGCCCAGUGUAGCAUCGUACUAUGUGCCUUUAGGAGUGCUCACAAAUUUUCUUCCUCUUUUGAAACUGGUAGUGGUCUUACUUCUAAUCACGGUAACAACUACAAGGAUAAACCUAUCUUCAGAGUACAAAAAUAAUGUUCCCUUUGAAGUGGCAACCUUAAGAUGAGCACUCACUGCAACAUGUUUCCUUGGUAGUACUGCUGCGGGGGCCAAUGCAAUUAAUCACUGUUGCUGUGUUGAGGCUUGGUGUAUGAACACCAACCAGAUAACACUACGGAGAUGCAGAUGUAUCAGCUCAUCUCCAGCAUCGGCUGAAUCAGUGCUUUGGCCUUUCGUGGCACCUGAUUGAUAAGUAGUGCUGUAAGUAGUACUGUGUCAGGCUGAGUGUACGGAAAGCAUUGAGACAGUUUAAAAGGAAAGGGCUGAUUUGAUACUGAUUCAAGUGGCUCAGCACUCUCGGCAGCAUGGUAUGGCCUGGUGCCACUGCACUUGGUUGACUAGUGCAUGCCAAGUGUGCUGUGCUAUCAGGUAACCACUAACUGCAAUUACACUGACAUUCCUUAUGAUCCAUGAAUCUACAUACGAAUUGGCUGUAGUCUCACUUGCAUGGAAAUAUGAUGUAGUUAUUUUUCUUGAAUAAUUUAUAGAGCAUAGCAUGGUUGUACUUGGACUCCAUGCUUACUUAUUCGAGAAAAAUGAGGCAAAAACUAAGAUACUUCCUUGUUAUAACAGUCUUCAUUUCUAAGAAAGAACAGUAUGUUAAAACUGCAGCGGCUGUGUUCCAAAUAAUUUAUCCUUUCUGGAGAAGCUAAUUUGGCCCUGUUUUACUGCAGGGGGUUGCCUGGUUCUCUUACAUAAUUUAUCAUUGGCUUGAUGAUGUGGUGAUUUUUGGCAGCACAUUGAAUGAGCAUAACAGCCAUCUCAGUCUUGUUCUGGAUUGUGUCAAACAAGCCGGCUUGAUCCUAAAUUCCAAGAAAUGUCGUUUCGGGGAAACCAAGACGUUAGUACUUGGGCAUCUGGUCGACAAAAACGGUGUGAGGCCAGAUCCACGGAAAAUUGAGACGGUCAGCUCCUUCGAAGCACUGAAGUCAGUGCGGGAGUUCAGGAGUUUCUUGGGCCUGUGCUCGUAUUUUCGUCGCUUCGUCCCAAGAUUCGCUGACGUGGUGUACCCCCUAACAUGUCUUCUCCGAAAAGCCGUCCCUUUCAACUGGACAUCGGCUUGCGAUGACGCGUUCCGCCAGCUAAAAUUUCUACUAACAUCAGGGCCCAUAUUACAUCACUUCGAUGCAUCCGCACCUACGGAAGUGCACGCGGAUGCCAGUGGCAUCGGCAUCAGUGCCGUACUAGUGCAACGUCAUCAUGGAGCUGAACACAUUGUGGCUUAUGCUAGUCGCCCUUUGACUAAGGCGGAACGCAAUUACACUGUGACCAAGCAAGAAUGUUUGGCAGCUGUUUUCGCUGUCCACAAAUUUCGUCCCUAUAUCUACGGACGCCCGUUCACUAUCGUUACUGACCACCACGCGUUAUGCUGGUUGGUGAAUCUCCGUGACCAGAGUGGACGACUGGCACGUUGGGCUCUUCAACUGCAGGAGUACGAUUUCGUUAUUUCCUACAACUCCGGACAGUCUCUCCCGCCUUCCUCUGACGACGACGGAGUGUGACGAAGAGAAUUUUGAUGACUGUUUUGCUCCCAUUUCUUCUACAUUCCCAGACUCGGCGACUUUCAAAGCAGAGCAGGAAAAUGAUAUUAGUUUGGAACCUCUAUUUGUAGCCGCAUCAUGUCCUGGAGCCACCGGUCGAUUUUGUGUCCGCGACGGCCUGCUUUACAAGAUCAAUUAUUCAGCUAAAGGCACACGCUUCCUUGUGGUGGUGCCGCAGAGUCUGCGAACGGACAUACUGAGAGCCAUGCACGACGAUGUGACCUCUGGCCAUCUAGGAUUCAUCAGAACUUUGAACCGGAUACAGGAGGGUUUUUACUGGCCCAAAAUGCGGGACACAGUGAAGCACUACGUCGCCACUUGCGAACAAUGUCAACGCUACAAGCACCCUACAACCGCUCCACCAGGUCUUCUACCUCUUCUGCUUGCCCGGCUCAUGCCAUAGCAAUAUUGAUGGUUUUCAGAUUGUUUUUCCUAUAGGAUAUAUUGCUGUUUUGGGUCUUCAGCUGUUGCUCUCAUUUGUUUCACUACAUUGUUUGUAUUUCUUUUCUCUUUUGCUGAAUACAAGGCUAGUCAAAUAGUGAUUUGAUGUUUCCAUAUGUGAAUUCUGGUUUUGUUUUUGUUCAUGAGAAGUAAGUCUCAUAGUGUGCCCUCUGCGUUAUUUUACUGGAGAGAAUGCAGCUAACACUGCGCUGUUGCUCACCUAAGAAAUCAUUUUUUUAUGAGAGCAGUGUUCCUUUUCAUGCAUUGUUUUACUGUCUUAUUCUAUUUACCAUUGAGUAUGUUUAUGCUUAGUUGUUAUGCAUAAGUGAUAUCAUUGUAUUGGUUCGUGUGUUAAGUGUUCAUUGUGCCUUUCAGAAACCGAGAGAUGGCAUUAUGCUGCAUUUUUGGCGUUCACAUUAUUUUCAUAAGACAGCUCCAGUCUGCCAUUGUAUUUCACUGCAAAUAUUGUGUACAUCAUUACGUACUUGUCAAGCGGUUGAUACCAAUAAGAAAAGACUGGUGGUGACAACUUGAGUUUCUCUUCGCUUAGUAAUAGUGGCACUUGAUUUGUUGUCCCAAACAGUCCAGGACUGUCCGAGAAGCUGCGUACGCCAAUAAUCGCUGGCUGCAGUAGCGUCUCAAGCAGUCUGGGACAACAAAUUGAAGAGGCCCAGUGCGUGCAUGCAUGCAUGACGAAUUAAAGAAACGGCCAAAAAUAGUACAGUGGAUAUUCUAUGGACGUAAGUGUGGUUAAUAUGGAUAUUCAUUAGAUGUACUAAAUAUCUAUUGGAUGUUUUGGAUAUCUAUUGGAUGUAAUAAGUACAUCAAACAGGAUGUCUUGGACGUCUAUUAGAUGUUGCAUAUAUCCAGCGCUGACAUCCCCACAACAUACUACUUACAUGUUCCGGAUGAAUAUGCGAUGAUCCUGAGUACAUCCAUGCAAAGUUUUCUGGAUAAAUCUGGAUAUCUAAUGGACGUACUGAAUUUCCAAGGUGUACCAUAUUAUUCACAUCUAAUGGAUGUAUCUGGCUAUCUGGGAUGCACCAAAGUGACUAGAGUCUGAUAUAUUCAAUUACUUCUUGUAGUGUGUCAUACGUUGAAAAUGACAAAUAUUUGGCCCAGCGGGUCGCACUAGAAAAGGCUCAGUGCAUAUUUCAUGCUUUUGCUUUAUUCAUCUUAUUUGUCGCAGCACACUUCAAAGCUGUGCUGUUUGCUUCAUUCUGUUCUUUUUCAUGUUAGUCAGCACGAGGUUAUACAGGGUGUCCCAGUUAAAUUUAGCCAGAGUUUAAAAGUAUGCGAAUGCCACAUAGCUGGACAGAACCAAGGUAACGUUGUUUGCCAUCGCUUGGAGAUACCUAAAUUAUUUCUUCAUUUCGUCUAAUUAAAUAAUCAGUCUUAGUUAAACUUCUGAAAUAUUAUAAUUAGAAGAAAAGUGUCAAUGAUAAAAUUGUAAAGCGACAUGAAAAACUGCCGGCACAGCUUUCUGUGCCAGCAGUGUUUUUCAGAGCAUGAAAGAAGCCUGCGAAUGCAUGCAAAGUGCCUCGAGCGGGCAGUCCCGUGGCAAUUUUACAUAAUUGUGCGUGGCGACAGUGUUAUUGCCCUUGGACUUCAACGGAACUUCACGGUGAUGGCGACGGCUGAAAUGCGCUUGGAGUGCCCAUAUACUUGCUCUAGCAAUAAAAACUUUACGUAAUGAAAUCACACCGAGCGCUUCACGAAGGCUAGCAAAUCAUCAGGUUCUGCAUUGCACGUAGCCUCCGAAGAGUUAUGCAACCCAAAGGAAAUCGGCUGCGAGCUUAUCUCCAGCUCCCAAUUCCGGUAUAGCACAAUGUGUUUUGGACGGCCCAAGGGCCGGACAAGAAAGUUCUGCGAUGGCACUGCUUCGGAAACAAGGCCCCAUCUUUUCCAGCCUGGCACGAAUAAACGUCGUGAAUUCUAAUACGUACAGCCCCGGGAAGUAUCACGUCAAACUAACCGAACAUUUUAGCUGCAACGCCGUACACAAGAUCUUCUUUGCAGAAGUGCUUGCUACGCACGCGAUAAUGAAUGGUGGGCUGCUUCCCCAUUCUCAGCUUUAUCAACCAUGCACCCUGCUGCUGCUUGGUUUUGGCGUACGCAUGAAAACUCACAGUGGGCUCUGUCGAAUACGUUUGGCACAGUGGCACCGAGCAGUAAACCAUGCUGAAACAAUAAACGAAAUGACUGUCUUCGGGCUGAAAGGCAGCGAGCAGCGCUGGCGUGGCUGGCAAAGCAGAGUCACGUGAUGUCGUUUACUACGUCACAGCUAUAGCUGCGCCAGUCUCUCCUGUGGUGGCCCUCGAGGUCAAUACAUGCGAGGAGGGCAGGAGGGGGAGGGUUGUAAGAAGGCAAGGAAACGCUACUAUACAUGAUAGCGGUUGCAGGCAAAGUGGGUAAAUUUAAGUUUAAUGUAUAGUGCAGUACGUUUCUGCUCUUUCUAAAAAAUAAACACCUGGCCUGGGGAGUCAGUUGAUCUGUGUAAGCAAAGUCGUGAGCUUCAACAUGAACACAACUUUGUCUUCAUACCAUCAUAGCCUUUUUGCCAGUUUCGUUACUUCAUUACCAUGCCAUUGUCAUCGUUCAUUGUUUUCACUCUGUUAUUGCGCCAUUGUCAAUUCAUAGUUGUCAUUCCUUCUUGAAAUGCUAGUGUAGCAUAUACAAGACAAGGACAGUAGAAGGGCACUUGAAAAAGAUGCGACACAAGCUUCGAAGAUCCAGUUGCUGGAAGUUAAUGCAUUGUGUUUUCAGAAGUUAGCUCCAUGUCUUUGCAUUAAAGUGCCAUUCUACUUCCCUCAUAUCAUAGGAAGCCAACAAACACUGACACCAAGGACAACAUAGGGGAAAUUAUUUGUUUUUAAUAAAUGAAAUCAAGAAACACUAAAUUAUUGGAAAUGAAAGUGGAUGAAAAAACAACUUGCCAUAGGUGGGGAAUGUUCUAAUGCUCUGAGAGAGCAUCACACGCGUCAUGUGAAUUUGUGGGAUCGUUCUACACUUGCGGCAAGUUGUUUUUUCAUUCACGUUCAUUUACAUUAAUUUAUCAUUUCUUUAUUUCAUUAAGAGAGCAUUGCACGUGUAAUGCAAGACAUGGAAUCAUUCCCCACCUGCUGCAAGUUAUUUCAUUUAUUAAAAACAAGUAAUUUUCUCUAUGUUGUCCUUGGUGUCAGUGUUUGUUGGCUUCUCUUGAUAUGAUUAAUAAAAAUUGGGCCCCUCCGUUAACACCCCUCUCGUCUUCCACUUCACUCGUCUUGAAUGUGCUACACCAGAUUCUAAGAUGGCAUACCAACAGGCUGCAUUGCAACGCUAGUUUACGUCAUUCCUUCAUUGUCAUGCUGUCAUCACUUUUACUCUAGCAUUAUUAAUGCAUCAUCAUUAUGCCGUUGUCAUCAGACAAUCAUCAUAAUCCCAUCAUUAUGCAGUCAACAUCAUUCUGUUGCAAAUUCAGCAGUAUCAUUGCACCAUUGUCAUGGUCAUUCCAAAGUUAACCCACUGUUGUCACACUGUCAUCAUCAUUCCACUGUCAUUUCUUUGUUGAAUGCAUGGAAUCCACAUGUGGGAGUACCACAAGUUUACAUUGAGUGAGCCAUUUCACUGUGAAAGCGUGGCCUACUUGGUCAUGUGAUUUGUAGUUGCAAAUUGUCACUGUACAGGACGACCGUUCCUCACAAACAGCAAUGAAAAUUUCCAUACAUUUAUGUUUGUUUUCCUGUACUACAGUUUGUUCUGCCGCUCAUUUCUUUUCAACUGACUGGUUUUUCAGAACGCCCUUCUUUUGUGCGAAAGGCAUUAAAUAAAUGCAGA
Molecule: long non-coding RNA, 6191 nt
Organism: Dermacentor albipictus
Lineage: Eukaryota; Metazoa; Arthropoda; Arachnida; Ixodida; Ixodidae
Source: RefSeq, a predicted model, not a curated record